This 163-nucleotide ribosomal RNA is filed under the name Scaphochlamys graveolens. RNAcentral's name for it is "5.8S ribosomal RNA". It matches the Rfam family "5.8S ribosomal RNA". From Rfam's summary of the family: 5.8S ribosomal RNA (5.8S rRNA) is a component of the large subunit of the eukaryotic ribosome. It is transcribed by RNA polymerase I as part of the 45S precursor that also contains 18S and 28S rRNA. Functionally, it is thought that 5.8S rRNA may be involved in ribosome translocation. RNAcentral also lists the same sequence under 5 other names. Lineage: Eukaryota; Viridiplantae; Streptophyta; Magnoliopsida; Zingiberales; Zingiberaceae. The record is from RNAcentral.
CAAAUGACUCUCGGCAAUGGAUAUCUCGGCUCUUGCAUCGAUGAAGAACGUAGUGAAAUGCGAUACUUGGUGUGAAUUGCAGAAUCUCGUGAACCAUUGAGUCUUUGAACGCAAGUUGUGCCCGAGGCCUCGUGUCGAGGGCACGCCUGCUUGGGGGUCAUGG